UUUUAUUAAUAAAAAGUAAACAAAUGAUAUUGUCUUAAAGUUUUAAAAAUCAACAACCCUACAUUGACUAGAAAUAAAUAAGGAUUCAUAUUAAUACAUCUAAUGAGAUUCAAGGAAAAAUAAUUCACAACACGUCUGGAGAUUCACAUACCAACAAUAUAUAUACACAUAGAAGUUUUAAUUGUAAUUAAAACGUGCUGACCAAGCACUGGCAAGUUCAGAUGUUCAUUUUGAGUACAUCUACUUAUAUCAAAUAUGUAGAAAAAUACUUUUGAGUCCAGAAAAAUAAGGGCUUUUAAAAGAAAUCUAAAAUAAUUUGUUAUCAUAUUCAAAAUAGUUUAAUUCUGUAAAAAAAAAAAAAAUAUGUAGGAAAGGGAAAAAAUAAAAUUUGGAUUUUUAAAUUUUUAAGGUUUCAAAAAAUACUAUAGACUGUUAACAUACCACAUAUAUCCAACUUGUUAAUAAGAAAUAAUCAAACUGAUUGAGACACAAUUAAUGAAAAAGAAUAAUAAUGAAAUAAGAAACAAAAAUUAGCUAAACCACAAUAUGCACAAAUGUAAUUCUUAUCUGACUGGAACCAAGGCUUUUCAGUGCAGAAGAAAUAUAAUUUGAUAGUCUUGUGUCUUAUACAGAGUACAUGUAAAGGUUGUCUGGAUUUCUAUUAAUGCUUAAAUAUAUGCACUGAACACAAAUUAUACCGAGAAAAGUCUAUCAUUGAUUGUACAAUAUAAAAUAAAUUCAAUAAUAUUGUU
Molecule: long non-coding RNA, 752 nt
Filed under: Mytilus galloprovincialis (Mediterranean mussel)
Lineage: Eukaryota; Metazoa; Mollusca; Bivalvia; Mytilida; Mytilidae
Source: RNAcentral